Meriones unguiculatus (Mongolian gerbil) is the source of this 912-nucleotide RNA transcript. It is a transcript of the gene named acyl-coenzyme A thioesterase 1-like, with no coding region annotated. The record is from RefSeq and is a predicted model, not a curated record. The transcript has 2 exons. NCBI's taxonomy places the organism in Eukaryota, Metazoa, Chordata, Mammalia, Rodentia, Muridae.
AAAUGUGCACCAUGGUGUUCUGUUUGUGUGUGUGCUGUCUGCGAGUGCUUAGCCGACAUGUAAGUCCCAGUUCCAGUGGACUUAGUGUCUCAUGUGCUGUAUGACCCUUUACCUGGAUUCCAUACCGAGUGAAAAUAGCCAAAUGAUGUCAUAGUUAUUCCUUUUUAUCUCGUGCUCUCCUUGUGGCCCGCUAGGCAAACACUAUUUUCUGCUCAUCCUAGACUUUACACAUUUCCCAACUGUUUCAUAAGCUAUUGUUUCCAUCCACAGAUGGAUCUGUUUUUCUUCCAAGGCCUUGAAGGUAAAAGGACCAGGAAUUGGGCUGCUUGGGACUUCCAAAGGGGGAGAACUUGGCUUUGCUAUGGCCUCCUUCCUGAAGGGCAUCAAAGCUGCCGUGAUCAUCAAUGGCUCUGUGGCUGCUGUUGGGAACACCAUCUACUACAAGGAUGAGACUAUCCCCCCUGUGUCUCUUCUGAGAAAUCGCUUCAAAAUGACCAAAGAUGGUGUCUUGGAUGUCGUGGAUGGUCUGCAGAGCCCUUUGGUAGAGGUGAAGAGCUUCAAUCAGGAGAGCUCUGCCCACUUGAACUUGUCUUACUUUCCAGGUUAUCAUCUAGUCUGAUUCUACCUGGUAAAGGUAGCACUCAUGAACAUGCUGUUAUUGCAUUGUCACAAACCGUGUUUAUUAUGACAUGGUAGGCAGCCAGGUUAUAGGAUUAGAAUGAAAUAUUACAGCUACGAAAUAAAGCCAGACACCAUGGCUCAUAUCUGUAAUCCCAGCAGAGGUUGAAGAAUUAAUGCAGGUUGAAGGUCAGCCUGGGCUCCACAGUGACGGCCAGGACAGCCAGGACUACUGAGACAGACCUUGUCUUUAAAAUAGUAAUGAAAAAUAAAGAAAGAAAAGGAAAAGAGCAA